This 253-nucleotide ribosomal RNA is filed under the name uncultured bacterium. Its description in RNAcentral is "partial 16S ribosomal RNA". It matches the Rfam family "Bacterial small subunit ribosomal RNA", at positions 524 to 776 of the family's 1533-position model. The record is from RNAcentral.
GACGUAGGGCGCAAGCGUUGUCCGGAUUUAUUGGGCGUAAAGAGCUCGUAGGCGGCUUGUUGCGUCGUCCGUGAAAACCCGUGGCUCAACUGCGGGCUUGCGGACGAUACGGGCAGGCUGGAGUUCGGUAGGGGAGACUGGAAUUCCUGGUGUAGCGGUGGAAUGCGCAGAUAUCAGGAGGAACACCGGUGGCGAAGGCGGGUCUCUGGGCCGAUACUGACGCUGAGGAGCGAAAGCGUGGGGAGCGAACAGG